AAUUUACCUAACAAGUGGUAUGAGAGCUAAAGAUCCGAUCCACCCCGUGGCGACGUUCAUCGUCGCUUCCCUUCGGCCGUCGGGGCAUUCAUCGUCCCGUCGUCCGCCUGCGUCCUGUCUUUGUCAACUGCCGAUGUAUGUCUGCAUGCUCCAAUAGCAGCAAACCAGCAAUCAAAGGCAUAGCAGCAAAGAAGAGGCAGCAAUGCAGACGUGAUCUGCCGCACGGUUCCUAGAGCAGCAAGCUCGUUCCUGUUCAACUGGAAUUUUCGGUAGAAUUUUCCACGUGCAUAUCAGCCUUCGUACCAUGAAGCUCUUUCUUUGUUGAUCCUACCAUAUAUUUUUUGAUCUGUAAUUUUUUCUCGAAGUCUUUUACCAAAAUAGAGAUUGAGAAGUUUCAUGGCAAGAUCAGUUUCAACAUAUGGCAGGUUCUUAUGAGAGUUUUGUUGUACAAGCUGGUGUUUGGAAGGGAAAAACAAUUCACCGAGAAGAUUUUGGUUGUUCCCGUUUAUCGCUUUGAUCAAAUUUACCAGGAGAUUUCAAUACUUUGUUUCGCUGUUCUGUUGGGUUCCCCCAAUUUAUACCAACAAUUUCAGGAUUUGAUCCUACGGCGAGUUUUGAAGUAUUACUCAAUGCUCUUGUUUUGAUCGCGUGAUUUAAGAGAAACUGCUAUGAGCACAUGACCAAUUUUUUAUGAGGUUUAUCAGGAGAUUCAAGUACUUUGUUUUGGUUCGUAUCUUUGUUGGGUUCUACCAAUUUAUACCAACAGGUUUAGGGUUUUAUUCCCAUUGGAAGUUUAAAGUAUGGUUCACUGCUCCUGUUCAAAACAAGCGAGAUUCUCGUUGUCCUCAAGUUCGGUUAGUGCUUAUUAUAGUCCAAAAGACUAUUUGCCGCAAGGUGAUUUUAUCUAUAUGAGGUUUAUGGUGAUUUCAAUUUUUAUGCUACAAGGGAAUUCGUCUCAAGGUGGAGAUCGAUAGAGAUAUGAUCCGAAUUAUUAUCUGUAAUGUAUUUGGUUUAUUAUAUUACUAGUUUCCUACUAGGUUUCUUCUAGCCGUUUUCUACUUGGAGUAUGAGUAGGAUUAGUUUCCUAAUAGGUUUUUAUCAGUCUUUUCCUAUUAGGACUCCUUGAUUUCCCCUUAUAUAUAUCUUUUGUAAGCUGCACGGGAAGGGUGCGAUGGCCCGGUGUAUUCUUCUACUAUUGUAAUCAUCACCUCAUAGUGGUUAUUGCCGGUUGGCGUCCGUAGUUUUUUCCCGCAAGGGUUUUCAC
RNAcentral lists this long non-coding RNA (1264 nucleotides) under Oryza brachyantha (malo sina). RNAcentral's name for it is "long non-coding RNA (OBRA_LNC001012)". Lineage: Eukaryota; Viridiplantae; Streptophyta; Magnoliopsida; Poales; Poaceae. The record is from RNAcentral.